Molecule: ribosomal RNA, 253 nt
Filed under: uncultured bacterium
Lineage: Bacteria
Description: partial 16S ribosomal RNA
Rfam family: Bacterial small subunit ribosomal RNA
Source: RNAcentral
UACGAGGGGUCCUAGCGUUGUUCGGAAUCAUUGGGCGUAAAGCGUAUGUAGGUGGCUAUGUAAGUCAGGUGUGAAAUCCCCGGGCUCAACCUGGGAAGUGCAUUUGAAACUGCAUAGCUUGAGUAUGGAAGAGGGUAGUAGAAUUCCUGGUGUAGUGGUGAAAUACGUAGAUAUCAGGAGGAAUUCCAGUGGCGAAGGCGGCUACCUGGUCCUAUACUGACACUGAGAUACGAAAGCGUGGGGAUCAAACAGG